RNAcentral lists this ribosomal RNA (880 nucleotides) under uncultured bacterium. Its description in RNAcentral is "bacterial SSU rRNA". It matches the Rfam family "Bacterial small subunit ribosomal RNA", at positions 590 to 1471 of the family's 1533-position model. The record is from RNAcentral.
GGAUGUGAANUCCCCGGGCUCAACCUGGGAACUGCGUUNUGAACUGGGUGACUAGAGUGUGUCAGAGGGAGGUAGAAUUCCACGUGUAGCAGUGAAAUGCGUAGAGAUGUGGAGGAAUACCGAUGGCGAAGGCAGCCUCCUGGGAUAACACUGACGUUCAUGCCCGAAAGCGUGGGUAGCAAACAGGAUUAGAUACCCUGGUAGUCCACGCCCUAAACGAUGUCGAUUAGCUGUUGGGCAGCAUGACUGCUUAGUAGCGAAGCUAACGCGUGAAAUCGACCGCCUGGGGAGUACGGUCGCAAGAUUAAAACUCAAAGGAAUUGACGGGGACCCGCACAAGCGGUGGAUGAUGUGGAUUAAUUCGAUGCAACGCGAAGAACCUUACCUGGUCUUGACAUGUACGGAAUCCUCCAGAGACGGAGGAGUGCCUUCGGGAGCCGUAACACAGGUGCUGCAUGGCUGUCGUCAGCUCGUGUCGUGAGAUGUUGGGUUAAGUCCCGCAACGAGCGCAACCCUUGUCAUUAGUUGCCAUCAUUAAGUUGGGCACUCUAAUGAGACUGCCGGUGACAAGCCGGAGGAAGGUGGGGAUGACGUCAAGUCCUCAUGGCCCUUAUGACCAGGGCUUCACACGUCAUACAAUGGUCGGUACAGAGGGUAGCCAAGCCGCGAGGCGGAGCCAAUCUCACAAAACCGAUCGUAGUCCGGAUUGCACUCUGCAACUCGAGUGCAUGAAGUCGGAAUCGCUAGUAAUCGCAGGUCAGCAUACUGCGGUGAAUACGUCCCCGGGUCUUGUACACACCGCCCGUCACACCAUGGGAGUGGGGGAUACCAGAAGUAGGUAGGGUAACCGCAAGGAGCCCGCUUACCACGGUAUGCUUCA